GGAGGCAGCUAACCACGGUAGGGUCAGCGACUGGGGUGAAGUCGUAACAAGGUAGCCGUAGGGGAACCUGCGGCUGGAUCACCUCCUUUCUAAGGAAGCUGUGGAAUUGGUAAGACGAUCUUCCGACAAGUCUUUGACUUGUCUCGAGAUAUGAACCUUCCCGUGCUUUUUAGAACAUAGAUGGCACCAGUCAGGUGACCAUCGAAACGUAAUACGCCGCGAUGACUUCGGUCACGACGGUAUGGCGAGCUUUCGCCGUCCACGUUUCUCUUUCUUCAAGAAGACAAAAAACCGCGUCGACCGGUUCCCCGAAUGGGCCCGUAGCUCAGUUGGUUAGAGCACACGCUUGAUAAGCGUGGGGUCGGAAGUUCAAGUCUUCCCGGGCCCACCAUUUGCAUUUGCGGAUGAGGGUUAGGGAUGAUGGAAUGUCAGGCGAUGCGGAUUGUUGCCGAACCUUGGGGUCUUGCCCCUGGGUGAUCGAGCUGGAGGGGCUGUAGCUCAGCUGGGAGAGCACCUGCUUUGCAAGCAGGGGGUCAGCGGUUCGAUCCCGCUCAGCUCCACCAAAUCGAUUGGUGUUGAAGCUGACGGCAUUUGUCUUUUGAAGAAAAUAAGGUUUUGCAUCGGUUUAGGCUGAUGCGUGUUCUGCAUACAUUGUGAAGAGAAGAUUGAUCUGGAGGCUUCCAGGUGUUGUGGGUUUUACCCAUGAUGUCCGAGCCCAGUUCCUGUGAAACCAUGGAUGGCCUAGCCGGCCGGAUAUGGUGGAGGGAUUGGAGGUAGGUAGGAAGCUUGUCACUCUGGAUCGUUUGUUGUUCGUUGCCUUCGGGCAUCGUCUGAUGAACGAUCGGAUUACCGUUGCCUGACCGCGCGGUAUCGGAUCCAAUCUCGAGAAGCUGGUCUUAAGACAGGCUGCAAGCGAGCUGCUCGGCGUAGCUCCAAUAAAGCAGACCUGUCGAACACGUUAAUGGCAUUGUUGGAUUGACUGGGUUGUAAAAGGUAACCCGGUCUGUUGCCGUUCCUUCGGAACGAGCAACGAGACGAUGAGCAUUGGCAAUGAGAACGAUUAAUUGUCGUAAGGGCAUUUGGUGGAUGCCUUGGCAUGC
RNAcentral lists this unclassified non-coding RNA (1100 nucleotides) under Rhizobium leguminosarum. Its description in RNAcentral is "partial contains 16S ribosomal RNA, 16S-23S ribosomal RNA intergenic spacer, and 23S ribosomal RNA". The stretch from base 1 to 89 matches the Rfam family "Bacterial small subunit ribosomal RNA", at positions 1445 to 1533 of the family's 1533-position model. Lineage: Bacteria; Pseudomonadati; Pseudomonadota; Alphaproteobacteria; Hyphomicrobiales; Rhizobiaceae. The record is from RNAcentral.